AUGGCGGCGGAAGACAUCGCAAGACUGGAGUUGGAGAAAACUAAUCCGAAGAAGGAUCCCGACGAGCGGUCUUACCAAUAUUACCGAGAGAACUGGGAGUGGAAAUAUGCCGAAGAGUUCGGCUCCUUCGAGGCCACGACUCGGAUCCCAGCCAUGUGUUUCACGGACAAGCCGACGAAGCCUGGUGUUACUAACCCCGAGCGUAGUAUGCAGAUCUUUUCAGUUAAAGUUGAGGAAAUAUAUGGGGAUUUACAUUGGCCGCUGGAUGUGUUUGGUAUCGUUGCUGUGAGGGAUGACCUGGAUCACCAUCGCAAUAUUAUCUUUGAGCGCAAAAGGGAUAACUGUCAAACUCUCAAUGAGGAGGAUCCAUAUUUAUUAUUAACAGGUCCUACCCGUGCUCCCGUGACUCUGUUUGGGCCUAUGCAUUUCGAUAUCACGCUGAAAGUGAAGCGCAGCAAUGAGUUAGAGGACAAAGAUCUAAGCCUGCUAGGCUUUCGCUACGAGUGCUGCAAGUCAAUCAAUUAUCAAGCGAGUAAGGGAGAGUGCGCCCUCAGAUCAUGCGUGAGCAGCCAAAAACAUAGAAGCAAGCUGAGCACAUUGGAGCUGACAUGUGGCAUUGUAGUCUCAUCCAUUGAGGCCACAAUCAGUGUGUGUAUUGUUGGCGGGUCCUGGCCAGAUGGAUUCAGCGGGCGGUUCAUUGCCUCGACUGCUAGCGUCAGUCACAUGAGGGUGUUACUGCUCAAUAUUGGAGAUAAGGAUACGCCUGUUGUUGCUGCUGAUGGCACCAUUGAGCUGUCACGACGCGUGGUUUCUGUUGAAAGCUUUGGGGAGCUGAGAGUGCAUGCAGCAGGUUGGCUAGGCAGCCAGCAGAUUGACCGAGAGGUGUUCUUUCAACCAUUAGAAUCUGGCAGAAGCUCUCGUUCGCUUAAGGUUGGCUCGUGUGAAAUGGAAGUUACCGUUGGCUGGUCCCUUUUCCCGUUAUGUUAUCCCACUGACCGUAUUCCUUCACCCAAGAAUGGAUGA
RNAcentral lists this ribosomal RNA (1023 nucleotides) under Triticum aestivum (bread wheat). RNAcentral describes it as "partial small subunit ribosomal RNA". Lineage: Eukaryota; Viridiplantae; Streptophyta; Magnoliopsida; Poales; Poaceae. The record is from RNAcentral.